Hemicordylus capensis (graceful crag lizard) is the source of this 725-nucleotide long non-coding RNA. RefSeq lists it as uncharacterized. Lineage: Eukaryota; Metazoa; Chordata; Lepidosauria; Squamata; Cordylidae. The record is from RefSeq and is a predicted model, not a curated record. The transcript is spliced from 3 exons.
AAUUAGAGAGAACACUGCUUGGGAAACCUUUGGUACCUUCAUGGAGCCAUUGAGAGCCUUUAAGUGCCAUUGCUUUUGAGGCCAGAGCUUUUGGAACCUUUUUGUCCAUUUCUGUGGAGCCUUCGCAAGCUUGUUGGAGCCCUUUGGAGCCUUUUCUCUGCCAUUCCUGGGGAGCUUCUUGGAGGAACUUCUUGCAGCACUGUGCAGCCCUGUCAAAAUGAGCAAGUGGACAGCAGAGAGCUCUGCUGAGGCGAGUGACAAAAGAUCUCGCAAACUAUUGCCCUUGAGCAAGAAGGUGAAGCUAUUGGACAUGCUAGCUCAUGGGGUCAGCGCGGAAUCCACUGCAUGCCAUUACAGCAUCAACAAGUCCACUGUCAGCUCCAUAAUGAAAGCCAAAGCCAGUAUCUCUGCAAGUGUGGUGUGUAGCAUGUCAGAGUCUCAAGGUGGUGUCCAUCUAAAUGAUCCCCACAUGGAACGGAUGGAAAAGGCCCUCAACCUGUGGAUAGAAGACCAAAUCCAGGGGAAUGUGCCACUGAGAGGAUCAGUAAUCUGCGAAAAAGUGCUGCAGUGCUACAGGCAGUUUGAGAAAGAAGGCAGUCAAACAGUAGGAACACCUGAAGGCACUGAGUGUGGUUUCCAGGUGCUGAAAAAAGGAUAAAAUGAAGACAGGCCACAUCUGGAGGCUCAUAUUCUGAUAGAAUACAACACAUUAGCAGACAAAAAGG